Long non-coding RNA from Gambusia affinis (western mosquitofish), 2018 nucleotides. RefSeq lists it as uncharacterized. The transcript is spliced from 3 exons. Lineage: Eukaryota; Metazoa; Chordata; Actinopteri; Cyprinodontiformes; Poeciliidae. The record is from RefSeq and is a predicted model, not a curated record.
AGAAACCGGGUCAGAACCGACGGGUUGGAGGUGUGGUGCCACUGAGUGGCUGCAGUCAGACGGUUGAGUGUUUGGGUCGCAGGUCAUUGCUGCUGCCAUUUUGUAUUUCAAAGAGACAUCAAAUAAUGGGGAUUCUGGUUUUUCCUUCCACUAAGCUUUCUAUUAAUAUGUUUCUAUUAAUAUGUUUUCACAGUCACCUUCUCUAGAAAUGUCCUUCUAUGGCGUAUGGAGAUAAAUUAGGACCAUACGGACUGUUAAAAAAAAUAAAAUUGAACAAAAGUUCCAAAUUACUUUUCAGGUUCAAUGUUUUUUUUUCAGCAAACCUUAUUAUAUGGAGCUAAAGUAGGGCCACAAAGUUUGUAAAAAAAAUUAAUUAAAAAAGUGAUUUUCAUGAUCAAAUAUGUUUUCUUUAAGUUCCUUUUUUUCAAACUUAAUCAUAAGGAACUAAAUGAGAGCUGAAAGGUUUGUAAAAAAGAUUGAAACUUAAAAAUUGUUUUGCUCAUUUAUCAGUUUCACUUGUAUUUGUGUAAACUUUCUUGUAUGGAAAUAAAUUAGGCCCAUAAAGUUUAUUUAGGAAAAACUUAAACAAAAGGACAUUAAAUUUAAAAUAAACUUCCAAACAUAUAUCAGAAUCAGUGGGUUUUGUCAGUUAAGUUUUGUUUUUCUGUUUCAAAUUAGUGUUAUUUUUUUAACAAACUUUUUUUUUUGUUAACCGCAUUUUAGUUCCAUAUUCAUAGUUGUUUCUAAUCUCUACGAAUGCUUCUGGUCUAUUGAAUGCUUAAACUAUCAAAACAUUUAUAACUCUUGUGUAUUUUUUAUGCUUGUUUCUGAUAAAGUUUUCAAACGUAUUUCUAUUGGUUUCUAAGGAAACGCUGCCACUCAUAAAAUGGCUUCUAUCGGCCAGUGAAGCGUCCAUUAUGCCUGAACACUUUUCAGGGUGUGGAUUAUCAAAUUCAACCACAUUAAAUCUGACUGGAUCUUAUGAUGAAUCAGGAAUAUAAGCUACGAUUAUAACAGAUUUUUAUUCUUCAUAAAGACCAAAUUUCAGGUCCAAAUCACCUGGAAAGUUGUUUUUAUUAUUGAUUCAACAGAUGCAGCCGUUUCUGUAAUAUCUGCAGCUGUUUAUCUUAACAGAAAUAUUCCUGGUUUCUACCAGCAGGGGGCAGCAGAGUGUCCUCUUAUAGUUUUGUUCAGUUAAUCGGCUGAUCUCAUUAGAAGUUUCUGUGCAGGACGACGCUCUGCUCACGGUUACGUAACGGUUUGGUCUGUUGGCCAACCCGCUCACUGAGGCAUGAUGGGAAGUCUAUAAAUAAAGACUCAUCCUCAUCAGACGGAGCUACAUAAACCUGGAAUGAUUCAGAGAAUCGCUGCUUGUUCGGGUUAUCCCUGAACGCAGCAUAAUGUGAGGCUAACGGCGCGCUGCUCCUUCACAUCCGGUUCGGUUCCGUUACAUAACAAUUGGGCUCUGAUCUGCUGACUAACCUGCCUCACUUUCUCCAGACUCCUGAAUCCUGAGCUUUACCUCACAUCUGAUUUGUAUUGAAGUGAUAAUUAGUCAAACUGCCGCAGCUGGAUGAAUCACUGGGCUGGAAACUGAAUCCUGUUUCCCAGCAGCAGCCAGAGUUGGUUAGCAUCCAGAAACAGACCAGAGCUGCUGCUGUACCUUCGAUGGACAGCUGCUCGAUGGCGCGCCGCUCGCCGCGGCUGCAGUGCGGCGGCAGGCAGAAACCACGGAUGCUCCUCCCGGUCCGAACCCGAGAGCUCAACACGUAGUUUGGGUCCAGAUCGUCUCCGCCCUGAAGACAGAAAGACACCAGAUGAGUCCAACAUCAGGAAGUACCGAUUCAGCACCACGGACAGCGAACACAACCAGAACCAGGUUGGUUCUGAACAAGGAUUCUCAUGGCCCCCCGCAGCCCCCCAUGGCGCCGCCCCUGCGACGCGUCUCCGGGUUGACUGGAGCCUCCUGAGGAGCAGGAACCAAUCGUGUGGCUCCAGGUGAGACCGACCUGGGUUGU